GAAAUACUCCUUCCGUUCUAAAUUACUCGUCACAUAAAUGGAUAUAUCUAGAACUAAAAUACAUCUAGAUACAUCCAUACCUGCGACAAGUAAUUCGGAACGGAGGGAGUAGUAC
Molecule: non-coding RNA, 115 nt
Organism: Triticum aestivum (bread wheat)
Lineage: Eukaryota; Viridiplantae; Streptophyta; Magnoliopsida; Poales; Poaceae
Source: Rfam